UACGUAGGGGGCGAGCGUUGUCCGGAAUCAUUGGGCGUAAAGCGCGCGUAGGUGGCCCGGUAAGUCCGCUCUGAAAGUCACAGGCUCAACCUGUGAAAGCGGGUGGAUACUGCCGGGCUAGAGUCCGGAAGAGGCGAGUGGAAUUCCUGGUGUAGCGGUGGAAUGCGCAGAUAUCAGGAGGAACACCAACGGCGAAGGCAGCUCGCUGGGACGGUACUGACACUGAGGCGCGAAAGCGUGGGGAGCGAACAGG
RNAcentral lists this ribosomal RNA (253 nucleotides) under uncultured bacterium. RNAcentral describes it as "partial 16S ribosomal RNA". It matches the Rfam family "Bacterial small subunit ribosomal RNA", at positions 524 to 776 of the family's 1533-position model. The record is from RNAcentral.